RNAcentral lists this ribosomal RNA (483 nucleotides) under uncultured bacterium. RNAcentral's name for it is "partial 16S ribosomal RNA". It matches the Rfam family "Bacterial small subunit ribosomal RNA", at positions 28 to 523 of the family's 1533-position model. The record is from RNAcentral.
GACGAACGCUGGCGGCGUGCUUAACACAUGCAAGUCGAACGAUGAUGCCCAGCUUGCUGGGUGGAUUAGUGGCGAACGGGUGAGUAACACGUGAGUAACCUGCCCCUGACUCUGGGAUAAGCGUUGGAAACGACGUCUAAUACUGGAUACGAACACCGGCCGCAUGGUCUGGUGGUGGAAAGAUUUUUUGGUUGGGGAUGGACUCGCGGCCUAUCAGCUUGUUGGUGAGGUAAUGGCCCACCAAGGCGACGACGGGUAGCCGGCCUGAGAGGGUGACCGGCCACACGGGGACUGAGACACGGCCCAGACUCCUACGGGAGGCAGCAGUGGGGAAGAUUGCACAAUGGGCGAAAGCCUGAUGCAGCAACGCCGCGUGAGGGAUGACGGCCUUCGGGUUGUAAACCUCUUUUAGUAGGGAAGAAGCGAAAGUGACGGUACCUACAGAAAAAGCACCGGCUAACUACGUGCCAGCCGCCGCCGUAA